GCAUUAAGUGAUCCACCUGGGGAGUACGGCCGCAAGGUUGAAACUCUAAGGAAUUGACGGGGGCCCGCACAAGCGGAGGUACAUCUGGUUUAAUUCGAUGAUACGCGAGGAACCUUACCUGGGCUUAAAUGUAGAGCGACGGACCGGGAAACUGGUCUUUCUUCGGACGAUCUACAAGGUGCUGCAUGGCUGUCGUCAGCUCGUGCCGUGAGUUGUCGGGUUAAGUCCCAUAACGAGCGCAACCCUUAUCAUUAGUUGCCAGCGGGUAAUGCCGGGGACUCUAAUGAAACUGCCGGUGUAAACCGAGAGGAAGGUGGGGAUGACGUCAAGUCAGCACGGCCCUUAUGUCCAGGGCUACACACGUGUUACAAUGGUCGGUACAAAGGNCAGCUACCAGGCGACUGGAUGCUAAUCUCGAAAGCCGAUCUCAGUUCGGAUCGGAGUCUGCAACUCGACUUCGUGAAGCUGGAUUCGCUAGUAAUCGCGCAUCAGCCAUGGCGCGGUGAUACGUUCCCGGGCAUUGUACACACCGCCCGUCAAGCCAUGGAAGCCGGGGGUACCUGAAGUCCGUAACC
RNAcentral lists this ribosomal RNA (575 nucleotides) under uncultured organism. RNAcentral's name for it is "bacterial SSU rRNA". It matches the Rfam family "Bacterial small subunit ribosomal RNA", at positions 857 to 1435 of the family's 1533-position model. The record is from RNAcentral.